CUCUAGCGAGACUGCCGGUAAUAAACCGGAGGAAGGUGGGGAGUGACGUCAAAUCAUCAUGCCCCUUAUGACCUGGGCUACACACGUGCUACAAUGGUUGGUACAACGAGUUGCGAGUCGGUGACGGCGAGCUAAUCUCUUAAAGCCAAUCUCAGUUCGGAUUGUAGGCUGCAACUCGCCUACAUGAAGUCGGAAUCGCUAGUAAUCGCGGAUCAGCACGCCGCGGUGAAUACGUUCCCGGGCCUU
This 246-nucleotide ribosomal RNA is filed under the name uncultured Streptococcus sp. RNAcentral's name for it is "partial 16S ribosomal RNA". It matches the Rfam family "Bacterial small subunit ribosomal RNA", at positions 1138 to 1382 of the family's 1533-position model. Lineage: Bacteria; Bacillati; Bacillota; Bacilli; Lactobacillales; Streptococcaceae. The record is from RNAcentral.